UUUAAGAGACCAAUUCUAAGUCAGAGAGGA
RNAcentral lists this non-coding RNA (30 nucleotides) under Mus musculus (house mouse). Lineage: Eukaryota; Metazoa; Chordata; Mammalia; Rodentia; Muridae. The record is from RNAcentral.